CGAGGAGUCCUGAACAGCCGCUAGGUGCAAGUAUGAUAACUCGCAUUGCUGCCCACAGGGAUCUCGCGCGGAGCCUGGAGCAAGGGCCAGAGGGGCCGGAAACGCCCAUCCAGGUGGUGCUCAGGGUACGUCCCAUGAGCGCGGCCGAGCUGCGUCGAGGGCAGCAGAGCGUGCUGCACUGCUCAGGGACCCGGACUCUGCAGGUGAGCCCUCCAGGCGGGGGUCCAGAAGUGGCGUUCCGCUUCGGUGCGGUGCUAGACGCGGCGCGCACGCAGGAGGACGUGUUCCGGGCGUGCGGCGUGCGGCGCCUGGGGGAGCUGGCGCUGCGCGGGUGAGUGAAGCUUCGCCUCCGCUCCGCGCCGGGCCUGGCGGGGCCCCGAAGCACCCCCAGCCCCCACCCCGGGUAGCCGCCCGAGUCCAGCCACGCCCUUGCCGCCCGCAGCUUCUCCUGCACUGUUUUCACCUUUGGCCAGACGGGCUCUGGGAAGACCUACACCCUGACUGGACCCCCUCCCCAGGGGGAGGGGGUGCCUGUACCCCCCAGCCUGGCUGGCAUCAUGCAGAGGACCUUCGCCUGGCUGUUGGACCGCGUGCAGCACCUGGGUGCCCCUGUCACCCUUCGCGCCUCUUAUCUGGAGAUCUACAAUGAGCAGGUAAGGGAAUGAGAGGAAUAGAAAGACAGCCCAUGAGGAAACGGAGCGCUUCUUUCCAGGGAGCCUGGAUCAAAGGGCAGAAGAGGCGGUUCGGGACUUGCUGAGCCUGGGGUCUCCCCGGCCCCUCCCUGUUCGCUGGAACAAGACUCGGGGCUUCUAUGUGGAGCAGCUGCGGGUGGUGGAAUUUGGGAGUCUGGAGGCCCUGAUGGAACUUUUGCAAACGGGUCUCAGCCGUCGAAGGAGCUCAGCCCACACCCUGAACCAGGCCUCCAGCCGAAGCCAUGCCCUGCUCACCCUUUACAUCAGCCGUCAAACUGCCCAGCAGAUGCCUUCUGUGGACCCUGGGGAGCCCCCUGUUGGUGGGAAGCUGUGCUUUGUGGACCUGGCAGGCAGCGAGAAGGUAGCAGCCACGGGAUCCCGUGGGGAGCUGAUGCUUGAGGCUAACAGCAUCAACCGAAGCCUGCUGGCCCUGGGUCACUGCAUCUCCCUGCUGCUGGACCCACAGCGGAAGCAGAGCCACAUCCCUUUCCGGGACAGCAAGCUCACCAAGUUGCUGGCAGACUCACUGGGAGGGCGCGGGGUCACCCUCAUGGUGGCCUGCGUGUCCCCCUCAGCCCAGUGCCUUCCUGAGACUCUCAGCACCCUGCGAUAUGCAAGCCGAGCUCAGCGGGUCACCACCCGACCACAGGCCCCCAAGUCUCCUGUGGCAAAGCAGCCCCAGCGUUUGGAGACAGAGAUGCUGCAGCUCCAGGAGGAGAACCGUCGCCUGCAGUUCCAGCUGGACCAAAUGGACUGCAAGGCCUCAGGGCUCAGUGGAGCCCGGGUGGCCUGGGCCCAGCGGAACCUGUACGGGAUGCUACAGGAGUUCAUGCUAGAGAAUGAGAGGCUCAGGAAAGAAAAGAGCCAGCUGCAGAAUAGCCGAGACCUGGCCCGGAAUGAGCAGCGCAUCCUGGCUCAGCAGGUCCAUGCACUAGAGAGGCGUCUCCUCUCUGCCUGCUACCAUCACCAGCAGGGUCCUGGCCUGACCCCACCGUGUCCCUGCUUGAUGGCCCCAGCUCCCCCUUGCCAUGUGAGUCUCAUGGCCCAGCCUGGAGGGGUGACAAGUAGGGAUGUCAUGGAGCCUCUGACGCACCUUUUUGCAGGCACUGCCACCCCUCUACUCCUGCCCCUGCUGCCACAUCUGCCCACUGUGUCGAGUGCCCCUGGCCCACUGGGCCUGCCUGCCAGGGGAGUACCACCUGCCCCAGCCUCUCUUCUGGGCUCUGAGGAGUCAGAAAUAGACCAGACAUGGUUCCUGCUCUCAGGAGGCUUCUAGUCUCAGGAGAGGACAGUAGAAGAACCAUCUGCUGCAUGCUGCACACAGAAGGCGACCAAGACCCCACCCCUUUAUGCCAUCCUGACAUUCUUGGUGUUGGACCCUGAGGCCUCAGGUGGCAGGCCCCCAUCUGCCCGGCCCCCACCCUGGGCACCCCCAUGCAGCCCUGGCUCUGCCAAGUGCCCAAGAGAGAGGAGUCACAGUGACUGGACUCAGACCCGAGUCCUGGCAGAGAUGUUGACGGAGGAGGAGGUGGUACCUUCUGCACCUCCCCUGCCUGUGAGGCCCCCGAAGACAUCACCAGGGCUCAGAGGUGGGGCCGGGGUUCCAAACCUGGCCCAGAGACUGGAGGCCCUCAGAGACCAGAUUGGCAGCUCCCUGCGACGUGGCCGCAGCCAGCCACCCUGCAGUGAGGGCGCACGGAGCCCAGGCCAAGUCCUCCCUCCCCAUUGAAGGCCAAGUGGGAACCCAGGAGACUGCUGUGUGACCUCAGACUGGGCUCCGCACUCUUGGGCUUCAGUCUGCCCAUCUGCUGAAUGGAGACAGCAGCUGCUACUCCACCUGCAGCUGGGCUAGGGGCGGGGACUGGGGGUGCUAUUUAGGGGAACAAGGGGAUUCAGGAGAAACCAGGCAGCAGGGGAUGAAAUACAUGAAUAAAGAGAGGCAUCAGCUCCAA
This 2644-nucleotide small RNA is filed under the name Pan troglodytes (chimpanzee). RNAcentral describes it as "retained intron". Lineage: Eukaryota; Metazoa; Chordata; Mammalia; Primates; Hominidae. The record is from RNAcentral.